Molecule: ribosomal RNA, 1425 nt
Filed under: Klebsiella sp.
Lineage: Bacteria; Pseudomonadati; Pseudomonadota; Gammaproteobacteria; Enterobacterales; Enterobacteriaceae
Description: bacterial SSU rRNA
Rfam family: Bacterial small subunit ribosomal RNA
Source: RNAcentral
GGUAGCACAGAGAGCUUGCUCUCGGGUGACGAGCGGCGGACGGGUGAGUAAUGUCUGGGAAACUGCCUGAUGGAGGGGGAUAACUACUGGAAACGGUAGCUAAUACCGCAUAACGUCGCAAGACCAAAGUGGGGGACCUCGGGCCUCAUGCCAUCAGAUGUGCCCAGAUGGGAUUAGCUAGUAGGUGGGGUAACGGCUCACCUAGGCGACGAUCCCUAGCUGGUCUGAGAGGAUGACCAGCCACACUGGAACUGAGACACGGUCCAGACUCCUACGGGAGGCAGCAGUGGGGAAUAUUGCACAAUGGGCGCAAGCCUGAUGCAGCCAUGCCGCGUGUGUGAAGAAGGCCUUCGGGUUGUAAAGCACUUUCAGCGGGGAGGAAGGCGGUGAGGUUAAUAACCUCAUCGAUUGACGUUACCCGCAGAAGAAGCACCGGCUAACUCCGUGCCAGCAGCCGCGGUAAUACGGAGGGUGCAAGCGUUAAUCGGAAUUACUGGGCGUAAAGCGCACGCAGGCGGUCUGUCAAGUCGGAUGUGAAAUCCCCGGGCUCAACCUGGGAACUGCAUUCGAAACUGGCAGGCUAGAGUCUUGUAGAGGGGGGUAGAAUUCCAGGUGUAGCGGUGAAAUGCGUAGAGAUCUGGAGGAAUACCGGUGGCGAAGGCGGCCCCCUGGACAAAGACUGACGCUCAGGUGCGAAAGCGUGGGGAGCAAACAGGAUUAGAUACCCUGGUAGUCCACGCUGUAAACGAUGUCGAUUUGGAGGUUGUGCCCUUGAGGCGUGGCUUCCGGAGCUAACGCGUUAAAUCGACCGCCUGGGGAGUACGGCCGCAAGGUUAAAACUCAAAUGAAUUGACGGGGGCCCGCACAAGCGGUGGAGCAUGUGGUUUAAUUCGAUGCAACGCGAAGAACCUUACCUGGUCUUGACAUCCACAGAACUUUCCAGAGAUGGAUUGGUGCCUUCGGGAACUGUGAGACAGGUGCUGCAUGGCUGUCGUCAGCUCGUGUUGUGAAAUGUUGGGUUAAGUCCCGCAACGAGCGCAACCCUUAUCCUUUGUUGCCAGCGGUCCGGCCGGGAACUCAAAGGAGACUGCCAGUGAUAAACUGGAGGAAGGUGGGGAUGACGUCAAGUCAUCAUGGCCCUUACGACCAGGGCUACACACGUGCUACAAUGGCAUAUACAAAGAGAAGCGACCUCGCGAGAGCAAGCGGACCUCAUAAAGUAUGUCGUAGUCCGGAUUGGAGUCUGCAACUCGACUCCAUGAAGUCGGAAUCGCUAGUAAUCGUAGAUCAGAAUGCUACGGUGAAUACGUUCCCGGGCCUUGUACACACCGCCCGUCACACCAUGGGAGUGGGUUGCAAAAGAAGUAGGUAGCUUAACCUUCGGGAGGGCGCUUACCACUUUGUGAUUCAUGACUGGGGUGAAGU